AGCCCGACCUUGCAGCUGGGAGAGGAGCCCCAGCCCCAGGAGUCCAGGUGUUCCCAUUCUGUGAUCAGCACAGAACACACACACCUCACCAUGGACUUUGUGCUGGGCUGGGUUUUCCUGGUUGCUCUUUUAAAAGGUGUCCAGUGUGACGUGCAGCUGGUGGAGUCUGGGGGAGACCUGGUGAAGCCUGGGGGGUCCCUGAGACUCACCUGUGUGGCCUCUGGAUUCACCUUCAGUAGCUACUACAUGAACUGGGUCCGCCAGGCUCCAGGGAAGGGGUUGCAGUGGGUCGCAUAUAUUAAUACUGAUGAAAGUAGCACAUACUACGCAGACUCCGUGAAGGGCCGAUUCACCAUCUCCAGUGACAACGCCAAGAACACGCUGUAUCUGCAGAUGAACAGCCUGAAGACCGAGGACACGGCCACAUAUUACUGUACGAGAAAGCAGGCUACCGAUUACUACGGUAUCGAUCUCUGGGGCCAUGGAACCAUAGUCACAGUGUCCUCAGCCUCCAGAGAAGCGCUGCACAUGUUCCCCUUGGUCUCGGGGUGUCAAGCCCCGAAAGAAGGCGACCCCAUAGUCCUGGCCUGCUUGGCAAGAGGAUACUCCCGAGAGUCAGUGCAGGUGACCUCGGUUUCGGGGAAGCAGGACCAGGCCAAAAAGACCAAUCUCUUCAUGCCGAACGCACAAGACAACAUUGAGCUGUCCUUCCUGACUGCCCAGUGGAAGCCAGACCCCCACCAGUGCAGCACCGCCAGCGGCAAGCUGCAGAAGGCCUUCCGGUGGCCAGCAUCUUGGGAAACUAAGACCCCCCUGUCGACUCUUGGGCCAACCCCACCAGAGGACUCCACCACAGUGCCCAGCACUGCCAGGGUCUCAGUGCCUUCCACCAGCCACACCCAGGAGCAAACCAGAGAGCCGGAAAGGACAGCAGACGCCAGUCUCAGAGAGUGUCGGAACCACACCAGCCCUCCCAGCCUCUACCUGCCACAGCCUCCCCUGCAGGGCCCAUGGCUCAAGGGACAGGCCACCUUCACCUGCCUGGCAGUGGGGGCUGGCCUUCAGGAGGCCCGCUUGUCCUGGGAGGUGGCCGGGGCGCCCCUGCACGCGGGUGUGGACAGUGGGCCGCUGGAGGAGAAUGCCAAUGGUUCCCAGAGCCUGAGAAGCCGCCUGGACUUGCCCGUGGCCUCCUGGGCCUCAGGGGCCAACAUCACCUGCACGCUGAGCGGCCCGGACGUGGCUUCCCAAGUGGUGUCCGCAGCUCCCAAGGAACACGCUGCCUCUGCGCCCAGCAGCCUCACGGUCCACGUCCUGACUGUGUCCAGAGCAGCCUCCUGGCUCCUGUGCAAGGUGUCCGGCUUCUCGCCCCCAGACGUCCUCCUCACCUGGCUAAGGGACCAGGUCCAGGUAGACUCUGCUUCCUUUGCCACUGCACCCCCCUCAGCCGAGCUGGGGAGCAGCACCUUCGAGACCUGGAGCGUCCUGCACAUCCGCACGGCCCAGGUCCCUCGCCCGGACACCUACACGUGUGUGGUCCGGCACGAGGCCUCCCGAAGGUUGCUCAACGCCAGCUGGAGCCCAGACACGGCCAGUCUGGACAUGACCCCCCCAGCCCCCCAGAGCCAUGACGAGAGCGGCGGCGGCUCCACGGACCUGGAAGACACCGGCAGACUGUGGCCCACGUUCGCGGCCCUCUUCCUUCUCACUCUGCUCUACAGCGGCUUCGUCACCUUCAUCAAACAGGCGGGGGCAGUGCGCGCAGUCGUGCCUGAAGGGGCGCAUGGGAGACCCUGGUGCUGCCCAGCACACAGUCACCGUUGGAAGCCUGCCGUCGCCCAGGGUCCCCAGCUGCAGAAGAGGAAGUGGUCACGGGGGCAGGUGAGCACAGUGGACGCCACCCGCUGGCCAGGGGCAAGAGUGAAGGCAGCCACCAUCAAGCCCAGCCGGUCCACGGCCCCCCCCCGCCCCCAAUGCCACAACGCUGGUGUCCCCCUGUCACUGCUCGUCCCUCUCACCACCUCCGUCCUCACCCACCCUCAUCCAUCCACGGCUUCAGCUCAUGCUCAUCCCUGCACGUGGCCAGUGGAGGCUGACCCACACCUGACACCUGACAUGCCACGACCGGACGCGGGGCUGUGGUCAGACGACCCCCAUGGCCUCUGCAUGUGACCUCUGGGGCAAAGGCACUUUGCAGCUGCCUCAAGGUCAGGGUACAAGAAGAGAGGUGGUCUCGGCUGGUGGGGGUCACUGUUGUCACAGAGCCACAGGAGAAGGCAGCGUGACACCAGAGCAAGGUGCCCGGGGUGGCCACAAGCCCAGGUGCUGCUCCUGGAGCAGGGAAACCCGGGGACAGGCUGUGUCCCAGAGUCUGCCCACGCCCGCCUGUGGCCCAGGGGCUGGGGGCAGACUUCUUGGCUCCAGACCCUGAGGAGACAAAGGUCUGUGGGAUUUGCUGUGGCAGCCACAGGAAACUCACACCCUGGGUCCCCAUGUCACCGCUGCUGGCCGAGGGGGCCCCAUCUAGGGUCUCAGGCCAAACUCUGAGAACAGAUCCUGUUCUCUCUCUGGGCCCACCUGCUGCCCCAGCCUUGUGGCACCCACUCAGGAGGCUGCCCACGGUUGUGUCCCGGAGGGCUCACCCUGCCCACCCUGCCCUCGGCGACCUAUCAGUGGCAAGGGCAGCCCUGUGUCCAGAGCUCACAGGAGGCCUCAGUGCCCCCACAGCUCGUCCGCACACGGGUCCCGUAGUGGCCAUGCCCUUGCCCUGUGCCGCUCCCCCACUGCGUUUUCUUCUCUGCCCCUCUGGCACACUCUGGGGCUCCCUCUCUCAUUAUAUUGGUUGGUUAUUUCUUUCCCAUCACCCAGAAAGUUAAUGCCAAGAGCACAGUGUUUUCUGUGGCUCCCUGAUGACGCCCAACACAGAAAGAAGAGCCCAGCACAUGGAGGUGCUCAGAAACACUUGCUCAGUGAACGCACGUCCCCCGCAACAUGGACCCUGAGUCACAAGAGCACUUUGUCCCCCGGAUGUGUCCUCCUGCACACGGCACACAUUUACAAUACACUGCGGUCCCUGUAUUCCCAGUUAGCUCCUUCGGAAGUCUACCCUCCCCCAGGCUGCCACCUCAGUAAAUGACCGCCUGCCGAGUGGCCCCCGAAAGACACCCCGAAGUCAUCGCGACCUGCCUCCCACACACUCCAAGCCACGUCACACCCACCCAGAGCUCCCUGUGGUACAGCCCGCCUCCAGGCCUGCCCCCUCCCCGGCCCACAGCUGGUCUGGUCCCCUAAAGACCUGUGAGCCCGUAGCCCCGGCUCAAAGCCGCUGACGGUCUCCCUUUACAUCAGGAACAAGGCUCUUUCUGCCUAACCCAGCUGGACUGGCCAGGCCUCCCCAGCGCCAGCCACCUCGAGGCCAUCCGGGCCUGCUCCUCUGACUUCACGGCCCGAAACCAUCUGCCUGCCCCAGGGUCUGU
Prionailurus viverrinus (fishing cat) is the source of this 3473-nucleotide non-coding RNA. The record is from the annotation of a RefSeq genome assembly. Lineage: Eukaryota; Metazoa; Chordata; Mammalia; Carnivora; Felidae.